This 468-nucleotide ribosomal RNA is filed under the name uncultured bacterium. RNAcentral describes it as "partial 16S ribosomal RNA". It matches the Rfam family "Bacterial small subunit ribosomal RNA", at positions 28 to 507 of the family's 1533-position model. The record is from RNAcentral.
GACGAACGCUGGCGGCGUGCUUAACACAUGCAAGUCGAACGGAAAGGCCCUGCUUUUGUGGGGUGCUCGAGUGGCGAACGGGUGAGUAACACGUGAGUAACCUGCCCUUGACUUUGGGAUAACUUCAGGAAACUGGGGCUAAUACCGGAUAGGAGCUCCUGCUGCAUGGUGGGGGUUGGAAAGUUUCGGCGGUUGGGGAUGGACUCACGGCUUAUCAGCUUGUUGGUGGGGUAGUGGCUUACCAAGGGUUUGACGGGUAGCCGGCCUGAGAGGGUGACCGGCCACAUUGGGACUGAGAUACGGCCCAGACUCCUACGGGAGGCAGCAGUGGGGAAUAUUGCACAAUGGGCGGAAGCCUGAUGAAGAAACGCCGCGUGCGGGAUGACGGCCUUCGGGUUGUAAACCGCUUUCGCCUGUGACGAAGCGUGAGUGACGGUAAUGGGUAAAGAAGCACCGGCUAACUACGUG